CCCCCCCCCCCCCCCCCCCCCCCCCCCCCCCCCCCCCCCCCCCCCCCCCCCCCCCCCCCCCCCCCCCCCCCCCCCCCCCCCCCCCCCGGUCCCCGAGCCGGCGGCGGGAGCUUCUGCGCGGGGAAAGGAGGGGAUGGGCUUUGUCGAGGGGUUCCUGCGUGUGUGCUUACCUGCAUUUGUUGGGAUAGAAUCCUGUCAGAGCACCAUAUCAGUUGCCACUACAGUUUAAUUUGGAAAAGUUUCUGAGCUCCGCCGCGGAACUUGUUAGGGGAGGAACCACCUCAGCAUAACCCCUCACCUGGCGGCUGCUGCGCACCCGCAGGCAGAGACUGCCCGGUUCGCAAGCACCGGCAGUCGGCUCCCAGUUUUCUCCGUGAUCCCCGUCCCUCCACUCCGGCCAAGCCGGCUGGGCUCCCCCUCGCUGGUACUGCCCGGCUUUGUGUCGCUCCUGAUGUGGCGGUGCACCCAGGAGAGAGGAGGCUCUUUUUGUCCCUCCCGUUAGCUUCAGCCAAGAGGAAAGAUUUUUUUUUUUUUCCCUAAUAUCACCAUUUAAUGGAGCGGGAAAACCAUAUUUCCUGCCCCGCGCUAAUUAUAGCGCGUCCUCCACCGCGCUGCCCCUUCCGUUCCCAAGCGGCCGGCGAGCCCCCGGGACAAAGAUUUUUUUUUUUUUUCCCUAAUAUCACCAUUUAAUGGAGCGGGAAAACCAUAUUUCCUGCCCCGCGCUAAUUAUAGCGCGUCCUCCACCGCGCUGCCCCUUCCGUUCCCAAGCGGCCGGCGAGCCCCCGGGACCGGCGCUCCCGGCUCACCGCCCCGCAGCUCCCCGGCUACGGCGCUGCCCGAGAGGAGCUCACCCACCCAGGAGCAUGGCCCACGCCGGGCUCCCGUUCCUAGAGGUACGACCUCGAGGAUGACCUUACCGGAAGGUGUCCGUGCUCACCGCAGCGUGAAACCCGGGCAGCGCCGGGGCUGGGACCUCUGCCCCGCUCUGCUGGUUACCCCUCCUCUCUCAUACCUUUACGUGCUCGGCUCUCCCCCACGACCUCCUCCCUCCCCAAAAGUCCCGGAGCUGCCGGCCGGGCUCGCCUGCCUCAGCCGAGGGAGCGGGGCAUCAGCGGGUUCGCCCUUGCGAUAAAGCGAGACCACCUUCUCGGGGAGCCGAGAACAGGCUGGACGGCGGGGGGGAGGAGUUGUCCCUCCCCCGCUCCGCCGGGAGGCGGCGCCCGGGCUGGGGGCCGGGACCAUGCACCCGGCGCGGCGCUGAACCCCGCGGCCAAGCGGAGCCCUCUCCUGCCGGCAGCCCCCGACCUGCGAGCGAGCGGGGCCGCGCCCGCCGCCGCCGCCCAUGACCCUCCCCCCCCCCCCCCCCCCCCCCCCCCCCCCCCCCCCCCCCCCCCCCCCCCCCCCCCCCCCCCCCCCCCCCCCCCCCCCCCCCCCCCCCCCCCCCCCCCCCCCCCCCCCCCCCCCCCC
This 1467-nucleotide long non-coding RNA is filed under the name Ficedula albicollis (Collared flycatcher). RNAcentral describes it as "lncRNA (ENSFALG00000027528.1)". Lineage: Eukaryota; Metazoa; Chordata; Aves; Passeriformes; Muscicapidae. The record is from RNAcentral.